GACGAACGCUGGCGGCGUGCUUAACACAUGCAAGUCGAGCGGGGAUAGCUGAUGGAAGGUUUCGGCUGGAAGUUAGUUAUUCUAGCGGCGGACGGGUGAGUAACGCGUGAGCAAUCUGUCCCAGACAGGGGGAUAACACUUGGAAACAGGUGCUAAUACCGCAUAAGACCACAGCAUCGCAUGGUGCAGGGGUAAAAGGAGAAAUCCGGUUUGGGGUGGCUCGCGUCCGAUUAGCUAGUUGGUGAGGUAACGGCCCACCAAGGCGACGAUCGGUAGCCGACCUGAGAGGGUGAUCGGCCACAUUGGAACUGAGACACGGUCCAA
This 324-nucleotide ribosomal RNA is filed under the name uncultured bacterium. RNAcentral describes it as "bacterial SSU rRNA". It matches the Rfam family "Bacterial small subunit ribosomal RNA", at positions 28 to 334 of the family's 1533-position model. The record is from RNAcentral.